GACGAACGCUGGCGGCGUGCUUAACACAUGCAAGUCGAACGGAAAGGCCCUGCUUUUGUGGGGUGCUCGAGUGGCGAACGGGUGAGUAACACGUGAGUAACCUGCCCUUGACUUUGGGAUAACUUCAGGAAACUGGGGCUAAUACCGGAUAGGAGCUCCUGCUGCAUGGUGGGGGUUGGAAAGUUUCGGCGGUUGGGGAUGGACUCGCGGCUUAUCAGCUUGUUGGUGGGGUAGUGGCUUACCAAGGCUUUGACGGGUAGCCGGCCUGAGAGGGUGACCGGCCAAAUUGGGACUGAGAUACGGCCCAGACUCCUACGGGAGGCAGCAGUGGGGAAUAUUGCACAAUGGGCGGAAGCCUGAUGCAGCAACGCCGCGUGCGGGAUGACGGCCUUCGGGUUGUAAACCGUUUUCGCCUGUGACGAAGCGUGAGUGACGGUAAUGGGUAAAGAAGCACCGGCUAACUACGUG
This 468-nucleotide ribosomal RNA is filed under the name uncultured bacterium. RNAcentral's name for it is "partial 16S ribosomal RNA". It matches the Rfam family "Bacterial small subunit ribosomal RNA", at positions 28 to 507 of the family's 1533-position model. The record is from RNAcentral.